AGUAGACUUCUCCAGAAGUCUGGUGCGAGCAGAUUUUUCCAGAAGUCUGCUAAUGAAGUUCGACGUCUGAUAUUGUCUUCAGAUCAGAAAAAUAUGCAUAUCCAAAACGUUAAAAUAGAUUCAAAAGAGAGAAAAACUUUAGAAAUAAAACCUUUUAUGUUUAAAUAAUAAAUAAUACUAUCACAUUAGGUUGAAUCUAUAGCCUUUUUGAAUCUAACAUAUAGAACACACAAAAAUACAUAUCCAAAAUUUAUAGAUCUACCAAGAAAUGAAAAACCUACAAAAAAAAUAUAAAGUAGCGAGAAAUACAUGAUACAAAAAGAUGAAAAAUUCAUAAAAUUUUGUGUCUUCAAGUUCAAAGAGAUUAGAGAGAGUUUGGAAAGUAUUAAAGUGAGAAACUUUACAUUUUUGUUUCAGCCAUCUGAGAGGAAUAGAUUGAAUG
This 442-nucleotide long non-coding RNA is filed under the name Brassica napus (rape). RNAcentral describes it as "long non-coding RNA (BNAP_LNC021376)". The record is from RNAcentral. Lineage: Eukaryota; Viridiplantae; Streptophyta; Magnoliopsida; Brassicales; Brassicaceae.